Molecule: ribosomal RNA, 469 nt
Filed under: uncultured bacterium
Lineage: Bacteria
Description: partial 16S ribosomal RNA
Rfam family: Bacterial small subunit ribosomal RNA
Source: RNAcentral
GACGAACGCUGGCGGCGUGCUUAACACAUGCAAGUCGAACGGAAAGGCCCUGCUUGCAGGGUGCUCGAGUGGCGAACGGGUGAGUAACACGUGGGUGAUCUGCCCCUUACUUUGGGAUAAGCCUGGGAAACUGGGUCUAAUACUGGAUAGGACCAUGCUGUAGGUGGUGUGGUGGAAAGAUUAGUUUCGGUAAGGGAUGAGCUCGCGGCCUAUCAGCUUGUUGGUGGGGUAAUGGCCUACCAAGGCGUCGACGGGUAGCCGGCCUGAGAGGGUGGGCGGCCACAUUGGGACUUAGAUACGGCCCAGACUCCUACGAGAGGCAGCAGUGGGGAAUAUUGCACAAUGGGCGCAAGCCUGAUGCAGCGACGCAGCGUGGGGGAUGACGGCCUUCGGGUUGUAAACUCCUUUCAGCCAUGACGAAGCCCUUGUGGUGACGGUAGUGGUAGAAGAAGCACCGGCUAACUACGUG